CGGCCGGGGAUGAGCUCCCGGGGCCGCGAUCGUGCGUUUGUGUGUCUGUGUGUGUCUGUGUCUGUGUGUGUGUCUGUGUGUGUGUCUGUGUGUGUGUCUGUGUGUGUGUGUGUGUGUGUCUGUGUGUGUGUGUCUGUGUCUGUGUGUGUGUGUGUGUGUGUUUGUGCGUGUGUUUCUGUUUGUGUUUGUGUCGCACCCGCCGGGACACCGGGUUCCCGUGGCACACACACCCCCCCGUGAACAGGCGCACGAACCCAUUUUAAACGUAUAAAUAUGCGCUGUCCUCAUGUGCCGUCCCUCAUAGAUACUUGGCAUCACGGUAUAUAUAAGUCCCCCUCUCUCUCUAUUAGGACUUACGGAUCCAGCCGGGUUUGUGCCCUGGAAACAGAUGAUUUUCAGCUGCAGGAAAAACGGGUCCUCGGAGAUGCACAUAAGCAGUUUUUGGAACAAAGGUUAUGCCCUGCAUCUGUCAGUUCUUGAGUCAUCUGGGAGCUGGGAAGACAGCCAGGAAUGAUCUGGGAAGACACAUUCAAAUGGUGGUAUCAGAUACUGUGCUGUAAAGAGCAGCAAUGCAGUGUGACUGUCUGCAGGGCUUGGAAUGUAAGGAAUGAAGUGGGGCUAAUUCCAGGAAGCUGCAAUCACUG
Molecule: long non-coding RNA, 644 nt
Organism: Onychostruthus taczanowskii (white-rumped snowfinch)
Lineage: Eukaryota; Metazoa; Chordata; Aves; Passeriformes; Passeridae
Exons: 3
Source: RefSeq, a predicted model, not a curated record